Molecule: ribosomal RNA, 458 nt
Filed under: uncultured marine eukaryote
Lineage: Eukaryota
Description: SSU rRNA
Rfam family: Eukaryotic small subunit ribosomal RNA
Source: RNAcentral
UUGUGGUUAAAAAGCUCGUAGUUGGAUCUCAACAGCCUUGAAGCGGUUAACUUUGUAGUUUUACUGCUUUAUAGGCUGUGCUUUUGCUGGAGGUUUAGGGGUGCUCUUGAUCGAGUGUCUCUGGAUGCCAGCAGGUUUACUUUGAAAAAAUUAGAGUGCUCAAAGCAGGCUAAAAUGCCUGAAUAUUCGUGCAUGGAAUAAUAGAAUAGGAUGUCGAUCCUAUUUUGUUGGUUUUCGGGACUCGACAUAAUGAUAAAUAGGGACAGUCGGGGGCAUUUGUAUUCAAACGACAGAGGUGAAAUUCUUGGACCGUUUGAAGACAAACUACUGCGAAAGCAUUUGCCAAGAAUGUUUUCAUUAAUCAAGAACGAAAGUUAGAGGUUCGAAGGCGAUUAGAUACCGCCCUAGUUCUAACCAUAAACGAUGCCAGCUAGCGAUCUGCCUGCGUUUUUACUGUA